RNAcentral lists this ribosomal RNA (484 nucleotides) under uncultured bacterium. RNAcentral's name for it is "partial 16S ribosomal RNA". It matches the Rfam family "Bacterial small subunit ribosomal RNA", at positions 28 to 507 of the family's 1533-position model. The record is from RNAcentral.
AUUGAACGCUGGCGGCAUGCUUUACACAUGCAAGUCGAACGGCAGCGCGGGCUUCGGCCUGGCGGCGAGUGGCGAACGGGUGAGUAAUGCAUCGGAACGUGCCCAGUAGUGGGGGAUAGCCCGGCGAAAGCCGGAUUAAUACCGCAUACGACCUGAGGGUGAAAGCGGGGGACCGAAAGGCCUCGCGCUAUUGGAGCGGCCGAUGUCGGAUUAGCUAGUUGGUGGGGUAAAGGCUUACCAAGGCGACGAUCCGUAGCUGGUUUGAGAGGACGACCAGCCACACUGGGACUGAGACACGGCCCAGACUCCUACGGGAGGCAGCAGUGGGGAAUUUUGGACAAUGGGGGCAACCCUGAUCCAGCCAUGCCGCGUGCGGGAAGAAGGCCUUCGGGUUGUAAACCGCUUUUGUUCGGGAAGAAAUCCUCUGGGCUAAUACCCCGGGGGGAUGACGGUACCGGAAGAAUAAGCACCGGCUAACUACGUG